GUGUUUGCUUCAGCAGCACAUAUACUAAAAUCAGAAUGAUACAGAGAAGAUUAGCAUGGCCCUUGUGCAAGGAUGACAUGAACAUUCUUGAAGUGUUCCAUAUAUAU
Molecule: small nuclear RNA, 107 nt
Organism: Nyctereutes procyonoides (raccoon dog)
Lineage: Eukaryota; Metazoa; Chordata; Mammalia; Carnivora; Canidae
Source: RefSeq, a predicted model, not a curated record